AUGAACAGCCAGUUUUCGGAUGAGGAACAGGGAGACUUCUCUCCUUACCCAGAGCAGGGCCCCAAAGUCACUUUUGAGUUUCCUGCAGAGCAGAGCGUCAUAGCGGGGAGCUCACCCUUGCUCGAGCUACCUGUGCCUCCUGCUAAAACCCUAGGUCAGUCAAUCAGGGCCUCAAGGCCGAGUGCUAGUUGGCCCCUACAGACAGCUGCACAGGGAACCAUCGAUUCGUCAGUGGUCGAUGUCAUCCCUCCAAGAGGCCAAAGGUUGACGCAAGGUACACGGUGGGAGUCCACUCCACAACAGCAAACUCCUCAAUUGUUCCCUUCGACGCCAGAGUCCCAGCUUGUCUCCAUCAUCAGAAGCCCCAGAAGAGAUCUUAAGGACAAGGGUGUCGAAAAGUUUUCGGACAAGCCUGAGGAAUUUCUUCUCUGGAAGGCCACCUUCCAGAGAGCAAUCAGAGACUUAAAGUUAUUGCCUGAGGAAGAACUGACUCUUCUGGCUGCAUGGUUGGGCCCAGCCUCAUCCUCACAAGUUAAGAAGAUCUACGCAGCCCACGUAGCCGAUCCCGACAAAGCCCUGGAAAAGGCCUGGGCCAGGUUGCAGCAGAGGUAUGGGGCCAGCACAGAGAUUGAAGCAUCUCUUAUGGACAAGCUCCAAAGGUUCCCAGCUUUAAAACUCAAAGACUUCAAACUCUUGUGGGACCUCAGCGAUCUCCUUGCGGAAUUAGAGUCGGCCAAGGAGAAUCCAGAACUGCCCGGUUUGAAGUGCCUCGAUCAGCACCUGUCCCAGAGGCAGAUCUUGACCAAGCUGCCCUUCACUUUGCAAGAACGCUGGGGACAGGAGGUCUUCAACUACAAGGAGGCCCACUCCCAGGCAUACCCUCCAUUUUCUCAUUUGGUCCAGUUCAUCAUCAGGGCAGCCAGAGAAAGGAAUGAUCCGCAGACGGGCCUCCCCACCUUAUACCAAGGGACCCAGCCAGAGAAGGCACCUAAAGUGGAGAAAAAACCAUCCAGAGAGGCCAAAAGACCGGUUAGUGUUAAGGCUGUUGAAACUCAGCACAGGGCCAACGAAUCCAAGUCAGAGGUGAAGGAGGUGCUCUGCCCCAUUCACCAAAAGCCUCACAGUUUGGCCAACUGCCGGGAAUUUGGCAAGAAGCCUUAUAAAGAAAGACAACAGAUUGUACAGAAGCUGGGCAUAUGUUUUAGGUGCUGUGGAGCAACUCUUCACUUUGCAUCCAACUGCAAAGAGGACGUCAAAUGCGCAAGGUGUAACAGCCUUAAGCAUUGCACCGCGAUGCACAACUCUGACGCUGUCUCCCGCGCCAAAGGGGACACGUCUUCCAAAGAAGGGUCAUCUACUGAAGCCACCAACAUGCAGACCGCGUCACGGAUGCAGGAGGAUGCUCCAUCGGUCGCCUGUACUGAACUAUGCUCUGACGUGCACCAGUUCAGAGUUUGUCAUCCUAUCUGCCUAGCGGAUGUAUAUCCAGCCAAGAGCCCUUGGCUUAGAAAGAGACUUUACGUGGCUUUGGAUUCUCAGAGCGAUGCCUCCCUGGCUACUCCAGAGUUCUUCCGCAUGUUUGACCUUAAAACCAAGAUGGUCGACUACACUAUGACUACGUGUGCAGGAAAAAAGAAGUUGCAGGGUCGCAUAGCAUCUGGCUUUGUUGUCUCCUCUUGCGACCAGAAGAGACAGUUCAAGUUGCCAGACCUGAUUGAGUGUUCCUCCAUCCCUCGGAACAGAAAACAAAUUGUAACUAGAGAAGUUGUGGAGGCUCAUCCACAUUUGCGACGGUUAAAGAAUGCUAUACCAGCCUUUCGGCCAGAUGUGGACAUUGCCCUUUUGCUUGGCUCGGACUGCCCGAGCUUGUUCUGUGUGAACGACCAAGUUAAAGGACCUCCAGGUGCACCUAUCGCACAACAAUUGCCAUUAGGCUGGACAGUCAUAGGCCCAGUGUGCAUAAACAAGAUGCACCCACCAUCGUCGUUGGACUCCAAUCAAGCACAGGUGCUUAAAGGUGGACGUCCUACACUUGUGCGCAGUUGCCUAAGUCAUAUCUCAGUCUACUGCCAAGCAAUAACACCAGAGUAUUCUUCCAUCUUUGAGGUCUCCGAAAGGGAUGAAACUACAGCGCUUUCCAAAGAUGAACAGAGGUUUUUAGAGAUCAUGAACUCUCAAGUUUCCCGGAGUCCCGAGGGAAAUUGGAUAGCCCCUCUGCCUUUUAAAGCAGAAAAACCCACUUUGCCAAACAAUAGGCAUGUGACAGAAAAAAGACUCUGGUCACUGAAGAAGAUAGGAUGGGAUCAAGAGCUGACCCCAUCGGUGAAAGCAGCUUGGGCAAAUUGGACUUCUCAAGCUGAAGGACUGGAAACCAUCACAGUUCCCAGACAAUUUGUUCCCUGCAAGGCGAUGAUAGAACCCACCACAGAACUUCACAUCUUCUGUGACGCAUCUGAGCAAGCUAUAGCAGCUGUGGCAUACAUGCGACAAAGGGACAGAGAUUUUUGUCACGCAGGAUUCAUCAUGGCAAAGGCUAAAAUAGCUCCUAUGGGAACUUCAAUACCCCGGCUGGAAUUGUGUGCAGCAGUUCUUGCUGUCCAGCUCUGGCGCAUCAUCCAGCAAGAGAUAGGAGACUUGUUUCAAGAUGUCCAUUUCCACACGGACAGUACAGUUGUGCUUGGUUACAUCAACAACACAACCAAAAGAUUCAAGGUGUAUGUGGCUAAUAGAAUCAACAACAUUCUAUCCAGUUCUACGCCUAGCCAGUGGCACCAUGUCGCCACCAGCAACAACCCAGCUGACAUCGCUUCCAGAGGAGCUUCAGCUCAACGAGUGUCAAGUUCAAGUUGGCUGACAGGCCCCAGAUGCUUAACCGAAGUCAAUUUUCCAUCAGCCUUUUCUCCCACCGAUAAUACAGAAUUGCCCGAGUCUGUUCCAGAGGUGAAAGUUUGCAAGAUGACCACAGAAAUCAAGAUGGGCCAAAGAUCUUGCCUGGAACCACACCGUUUUGAACGUUUUUCGGAGUGGCACAGUCUUCUUAGAGCAGUUGCUAGGCUUAUACAUCGCUUAGUCUGCAAAGAUAGUCAGCCUUUGCAAGUUCAGGACAUGUUGAAGGCUAAGGGAGUAAUAUUCAGGUCAGUUCAGAGGCAUGAGUUUAGUCUAGAAAUAGCCAGGUUAGAACAAGGGAUUGACACCCCCAGCCGGAGUUUCUUGCGUGAGUUAAACCCAUUUCUAGACAAGGAGGGCAUUUUAAGAGUGGGAGGGAGGUUAGCUAAGGCUAAACUCAAAGUGUGUAUAAAGAACCCUAUCAUUGUACCCCCCAAUAGCCAUAUUGCUUUGUUGUUGGUUCGUCACUACCAUGAGAAAAUCCAUCAUCAAGGUAGAACUCUGACUGAGGCGACCCUUAGAAAUGAAGGCCUGUGGGUGGUAAAUGCUAAAAGUUUGGUCAGCAGUGUUAUUUUUAAGUGUGUCAAAUGUCGGCGACUCAGAGUCAGCUGA
RNAcentral lists this long non-coding RNA (3498 nucleotides) under Anolis carolinensis (green anole). RNAcentral's name for it is "lncRNA (ENSACAG00000034970.1)". Lineage: Eukaryota; Metazoa; Chordata; Lepidosauria; Squamata; Anolidae. The record is from RNAcentral.